GGGGGGAGGAAUAGAACAGAAAUUGAUUAUUAUGCGUGUUACGUGAAAACUUUAAAAACUUGGCCUACCUUGGCGCCUACAUCAGUGACAGAGGUCAUACAUGAUAAUAAAAGGAAAUAAGAUUAAAAUAAAGGUCAUCACAGUUCAGCUCCUGGGCCCGGGGAAAACCAGUUAAGGAAUAAUAGAAUACCAUGAAGAUGUAGGCAGGAUGAGACUGCAGUGCCAGGCCGCUGGGGUACUGGGCCACAAAUCUCCGCUGAAGAAGACCACCAGGCCGGGCCGAGACCUCCACCCUGGGCCGAGACUGCCAGGCCGGGCCGAGACCUCCACCCUGGGCCGAGACUGCCAGGCCGGGCCGAGACCUCCACCCUGGGCCGAGACUGCCAGGCCGGGCCGAGACCUCCACCCUGGGCCGAGACUGCCAGGCCGGGCCGAGACCUCCACCCUGGGCCGAGACUGCCAGGCCGGGCCGAGACCUCCACCCUGGGCCGAGACUGCCAGGCCGGGCCGAGACCUCCACCCUGGGCCGAGACCGCCCAGCCGAGCUGAGACCGUCGCCCUGGGCUGAGACCGCCAGGCCGGGUUGAGACCUCCGCCCUGGGUCGAGACCUCCACCCUGGGCCGAGACCACCAGGCCAGGUUGAGAACACCGCCCUGGGCCGAGACCACCAGGCCAGGUUGAGAACACCGCCCUGGGCCGAGACCGCCAGGCCGGGUUGAGACCGUCGCCCUGGGCCGAGACCGCCAGGCCAGGUUGAGACCGUCGCCCUGGGCCGAGACCGACGGGCCGGGCCGCGACCGUCGCCCUGGGCCGAGACCGACGGGCCGGGCCGCGACCGUCGCCCUGGGCCGAGACCGACGGGCCGGGCCGAGACCGUCGCCCUGGGCCGAGACCGACGGGCCGGGCCGAGACUGCUGCUCCAGGAUGAGACCACCAGGCCGGGCCGAGAUCGUUGCUCUAGGCCUGGACUGCCACUUCUCUUUCAGGCCCCUGGGCCUAAGUGCCGACCUGGAGCCUCAGCCUGAGCUUGUGGGGGCCAGUGCAGUUUUUGGCCCCUGUUGUACCAUCAAGCUCCAGUCUGUGCAAGUUCUUUAGCUCCCUCCUGUCACGGCCCAGUGGCCUCCUGACCCUGAGCCCAUCAGCAAG
RNA transcript from Stegostoma tigrinum, 1147 nucleotides. It is a transcript of the gene named mitochondrial ribosomal protein L34, with no coding region annotated. NCBI's taxonomy places the organism in Eukaryota, Metazoa, Chordata, Chondrichthyes, Orectolobiformes, Stegostomatidae. The transcript has 2 exons. The record is from RefSeq and is a predicted model, not a curated record.